CAAUAAGCGGAGGAAAAGAAACCAACAGGGAUUGCCCUAGUAACGGCGAGUGAAGCGGCAACAGCUCAAAUUUGAAAUCUGGCUUCGGCCCGAGUUGUAAUUUGCAGAGGAUGCUUUUGGUGCGGUGCCGUCCGAGUUCCCUGGAACGGGACGCCACAGAGGGUGAGAGCCCCGUAUGGUCGGACACCAAUCCUGUGUAAAGCUCCUUCGACGAGUCGAGUAGUUUGGGAAUGCUGCUCUAAAUGGGAGGUAAAUCUCUUCUAAAGCUAAAUACCGGCCAGAGACCGAUAGCGCACAAGUAGAGUGAUCGAAAGAUGAAAAGCACCUUGAAAAGGGGGUUAAACAGUACGUGAAAUUGUUGAAAGGGAAGCACUUGUGACCAGACUUGGGCCGGGCGGCUCAUCAGGGGUUCUCCCCUGUGCACUCCGCCCGGUACAGGCCAGCAUCGGUUUUUGCCGGGGGUUAAUAACGGUAGGAACGUGGCUCCCCCUCGGGGGAGUGUUAUAGCCUGCCGUACGAUACCCUGGCGGGGACCGAGG
Molecule: ribosomal RNA, 539 nt
Filed under: Paratubakia subglobosa
Lineage: Eukaryota; Fungi; Ascomycota; Sordariomycetes; Diaporthales; Tubakiaceae
Description: LSU rRNA
Rfam family: Eukaryotic large subunit ribosomal RNA
Source: RNAcentral